RNAcentral lists this transfer RNA (84 nucleotides) under Oceanobacillus oncorhynchi subsp. incaldanensis. RNAcentral describes it as "tRNA-Leu". It matches the Rfam family "tRNA". Rfam says of the family: Transfer RNA (tRNA) molecules are approximately 80 nucleotides in length. Their secondary structure includes four short double-helical elements and three loops (D, anti-codon, and T loops). RNAcentral also lists the same sequence under 7 other names. The record is from RNAcentral. Lineage: Bacteria; Bacillati; Bacillota; Bacilli; Caryophanales; Bacillaceae.
GCGGUCGUGGCGGAAUGGCAGACGCGCCAGGUUGAGGGCCUGGUGGGUGAAUAACCCGUGUGGGUUCAAAUCCCACCGACCGCA